GGAAGGAUCAUUACCGAAUUGUCGACACGAGUUGUUGCUGGCCCUCGAAGGGGGGCACGUGCACGCUCUGUUUACACAUCCACUCACACCUGUGCACCCUCUGUGGUUCUAUGGCCUGGGGGACACCGUCCUCUUGCUGUGGUCCUACGUUUUUACACACACACUGUAACAAAGUCUUAUGGAAUGCAUGUCGCGUUUAACGCAAUACAAUACAACUUUCAGCAACGGAUCUCUUGGCUCUCGCAUCGAUGAAGAACGCAGCGAAAUGCGAUAAGUAAUGUGAAUUGCAGAAUUCAGUGAAUCAUCGAAUCUUUGAACGCACCUUGCGCCCUUUGGCUAUUCUGAAGGGCAUGCCUGUUUGAGUAUCAUGAACACCUCAACUCUCAUGGUUUGCCAUGAUGAGCUUGGACUUUGGGGGUCUUGCUGGCCUAUGGUCGGCUCCUCUUAAAUGAAUCAGCUUGCCAGUGUUUGGUGGCGUCACAGGUGUGAUAACUAUCUACGCUUGUGGUUUUCCACCAGGUAACCUUCAGUGAUGGAGGUUCGCUGGGGCUCACAAAUGUCUCUCCUCAGCGAGGACAGCUUUUUAACGUUUGAUCUCAAAUCAGGUAGGACUACCCGCUGAACUUAAGCAUAUCAAUAAGCGGAGGAAAAGAAACUAACAAGGAUUCCCCUAGUAACUGCGAGUGAAGCGGGAAGAGCUCAAAUUUAAAAUCUGG
This 716-nucleotide ribosomal RNA is filed under the name uncultured fungus. Its description in RNAcentral is "eukaryotic LSU rRNA". The stretch from base 214 to 368 matches the Rfam family "5.8S ribosomal RNA". Lineage: Eukaryota; Fungi. The record is from RNAcentral.